UACGUAGGGUGCGAGCGUUAAUCGGAAUUACUGGGCGUAAAGCGUGCGCAGGCGGUUCGCUGUGUCCGAUGUGAAAGCCCCGGGCUUAACCUGGGAAUGGCAUUGGAAACUGGCUCGCUGGAGUGUGGCAGAGGGGGGUGGAAUUCCGCGUGUAGCAGUGAAAUGCGUAGAGAUGCGGAGGAACACCGAUGGCGAAGGCAGCCCCCUGGGCUAACACUGACGCUCAGGCACGAAAGCGUGGGGAGCAAACAGG
This 253-nucleotide ribosomal RNA is filed under the name uncultured bacterium. RNAcentral describes it as "partial 16S ribosomal RNA". It matches the Rfam family "Bacterial small subunit ribosomal RNA", at positions 524 to 776 of the family's 1533-position model. The record is from RNAcentral.